This 650-nucleotide ribosomal RNA is filed under the name uncultured bacterium. RNAcentral describes it as "bacterial SSU rRNA". It matches the Rfam family "Bacterial small subunit ribosomal RNA", at positions 89 to 778 of the family's 1533-position model. The record is from RNAcentral.
GGGGAUCUGGCGACGGUGAGUACGCGUGGAACGUGCCCUUCACUACGGAAUAGCUUUUGGAAACGAAAGGUAAUACCGUAUACGCCCUCCGGGGGAAAGAUUUAUCGGUGAAAGAUCGGUCCGCGUUAGAUUAGCUAGUUGGUGAGGUAACGGCUCACCAAGGCUACGAUCUAUAGCUGGUCUGAGAGGAUGAUCAGCCACACUGGGACUGAGACACGGCCCAGACUCCUACGGGAGGCAGCAGUGGGGAAUAUUGCACAAUGGGCGCAAGCCUGAUGCUGCCAUGCCGCGUGAAUGAUGAAGGCCUUAGGGUUGUAAAAUUCUUUCGCCAAGGAUGAUAAUGACAGUACUUGGUAAAGAAGCCCCGGCUAACUUCGUGCCAGCAGCCGCGGUAAUACGAAGGGGGCUAGCGUUGUUCGGAAUUACUGGGCGUAAAGCGCACGUAGGCGGACUUUUAAGUCAGAUGUGAAAUCCCGAGGCUCAACCUCGGAACUGCAUUUGAAACUGGGAGUCUAGAGAUCAGGAGAGGUUAGCGGAAUACCGAGUGUAGAGGUGAAAUUCGUAGAUAUUCGGUGGAACACCAGUGGCGAAGGCGGCUAACUGGACUGAUACUGACGCUGAGGUGCGAAAGUGUGGGGAGCAAACAGGAU